CCUACGGGAGGCAGCAGUGAGGAAUAUUGGUCAAUGGGCGGAAGCCUGAACCAGCCAAGUAGCGUGCAGGAUGACGGCCCUACGGGUUGUCAACUGCUUUUAUACGGGAAUAACGCGCCUUACGUGUAGGGCUUUGCAUGUACCGUAUGAAUAAGGACCGGCUAAUUCCGUGCCAGCCGCCGCGGUAAUACGGAAGGUCCGGGCGUUAGCCGGAUUUGUUGGGUUUAAGGGGAGCGUAGGCCGCAUGUCAAGCGUGCUGUGAAAUGUCCGGGCUCAACCCGGGCCUUGCAGCGCGAACUGGCGUGCGUGAGUCCGCGGAAAGCAGGCGGAAUUCGUCGUGUAGCGGUGAAAUGCUUAGAUAUGACGAAGAACCCCGAUUGCGAAGGCAGCUUGCUGCAGCGGAACUGACGCUGAUGCUCGAAAGCGCGGGUAUCGAACAGGAUUAGAUACCCCAGUAGUC
Molecule: ribosomal RNA, 460 nt
Filed under: uncultured bacterium
Lineage: Bacteria
Description: partial 16S ribosomal RNA
Rfam family: Bacterial small subunit ribosomal RNA
Source: RNAcentral